This 2551-nucleotide long non-coding RNA is filed under the name Androctonus crassicauda. Lineage: Eukaryota; Metazoa; Arthropoda; Arachnida; Scorpiones; Buthidae. The record is from RNAcentral.
AAAUUAAAAACCGAAUGUAACCGGGAAACCGACGUUAAAUGAUUUAAUAAACAAAAAUGACGUUAAUCCCAUAUAAAACAUAAUAGCAAAUAAUAUGCGAGAUUUGGAUAGAGGGUAAAUAUUAAUGUUCCUACUUAAUUCGCUUAGAGAAGUCGAACUAUACAAAUCAAAAAACAUUUAAUUGGCUAAAGCGCCCAGAUCUUUUAAUCUACCAGCACUUAACGGAUUUAGCUUAUACGGGUUGAUAAGUUGUACUUUUUUUGUCCAGGCCACACUACAUUCUGGAAGAAUAAAUAAUACGUGACGGGGCGAAACGAGUCCUUCCACCGACCGCCAACCCCGACCAGGGGUCAGCCAGAUAGUGGAGGACGAGGAAGGACGGGCCGGGCACGGACCCCACCAUAAAUAUUUUCGAGCGAUGGGACCCGAGACUGGAACUCAAAGUCCUCCAAAGUCGAAAGCCCAAGCGUUUCCAGGAGGGCGAUCCGUCCUAGUAAAUUGUACCGCAUACUGUGUCUGUAUUUUAUUAGACUGACACAACUCGAAUAAUGCGUAUAGGGCGCGUAAUAAAGAGGUUUAUCUCUGGUGUGUAAAUAGUAACUGCCCUAUUUGUCUAUAUAAAUUUAAUUAGUAGUCUAUUUUCAUUGCUGGUACGAAUUUGGCCGAGGGAACUAGGGCAUCUUCUGGUUAAAAAUUCCCGAGGAAACUAUGUAAAAGAUAUCGAUAUAAUAAAAUUCAAGAAAGGUAGUUAAGGCGGAGAGAUUUUCCGCUUCUGGUGCGGAGGGACGUAUUCUAGAAUUUCUAAUAUAAAUAUUUAGCGUCGUAUCGGUCCGAUAUAUCUUUAGCUGGUAUAUUAAUUGUACGCGUUUGAUAUCCAACCACUCCUCUAGCUCUGGUCAUCGUUUCAUUUUAAGUUUGAUAAAACUUUCCGUUAAUUUCGUCUCUUUUUUAAGGAUACGAAAAUAGAGGUUAAUAGCUGUAGAAAAAGACUAGGCGAUUGCCAUAAAAUAAUAUUCGGUCGAAAAUCAGUACCGCGUGUACAGGUGGCGUAUCUAACAGGCGAUAAGAGACCAGAAGGUAUCCGGACGGUAAAAAAGGCCGAGUUGCCAACUUUUCUUGGUAACGACUUAUUUUAUUUCAAUUAAUUGCUCGAUACGCUACUUCGCUAUCAAUGCGUAACUCCGAAUUACCCUUGUAUUUUUCUGGAAAAUUAAUAUCUAUUUAAUAAGAUAGUCAAUCUUUAGAGUUAUUUCCUUCCAGUAGCCUAUUUAAUUCUUAUUGUAUUUUAUAUCGUUUUCUUCUUGUUUUAGACUCGAUAAUAAUAGUUAAUUAAAAAAAAUAAGUAACUAAUAUUAUUCGAUACCAAACCCAGCUCAGUUUAUUCAAAUAGAGAGCCGAUGUUGGCUUCGGUAGAGGAAUUAAUGCAAUUUUAGAUUAUGGCAACUUUCUAUUACCCAUUUGCUUCCUUGCCGCCUGAAUUCGAACGAAAACGACUCUUGACCAGGUUUUUCGAUGCAACAAAACCAUGAAAUCGUUGGCCAAUCGUUUGACCGAACAGACGGCGAGAAAAAAAGCAGAAAAAACAGCGCCCCGGUAUUAAACUUCCAUCAGGAGCCAAUAGAAUCUAUUCCAGAUUUUUGGGGAGGUCCAAGGCGAUUCUUCGACUCAUCCCAUCGGCAGCGCUGUCAGUCCUUAACUUAUUCGGAAACGACCGUCGCCCUAUCCCAUAUAAGCUUUGCCGGCGUGGCUACAUAAAAUACGAAGAUAUCGUAAUAUAUACAGUCGAGAAAAAAUAUGUUCCGAUGGUAAUUUUAAAAUGUUCAGAAGCUCUAGCCACUAUGAAUUUGCCGAGAAACAUUUUUAAGUUUUUCUCGGAAUCAUCAGAAUCUAUUUUCUUGGAAAUAUUAUCAGACCUUUCAUUAUUUAUCAUUGUUUUCGGUGAAUUCAAUUACGUUAUCGAAUCUUAGACGGGAUGUUAUGGCGACGGUCAUUUCCCAACAUAUCGACAACAGACAGCAUCCCCGAGAGGAUCCGAGGAAAGAUUAACUCUAACAGGCCGAGUUCCUAUAUAAUGGUGUUGUUCAAAAUAGUUAACAAUCGAUUCUGUUUAUUUUUCAGCCAAAAUACGCUAACUAAAAUUUCCAAUUAUAUAUUUUAAACAACCGGUUGGAAUCAAUCGGCUGAACGAUAGCGCAAUCCCUUAGAAUGUGGAACAGAUUUUAGUCUCCAGCAGAAAAUUUAAUACAAACCACAUUCGGCCGACUCUAAUUUUUCUGCUGGUUUUCUGGCCAUCGAUUCAGUCAAGAAAUUUCAUCCAUUUUGUUCCAUCCUGGACACUAUCAUUUUCUUUUAAAUAAGUCCUGCCAGGGAAUAAGAAUGUUUUUUGCAUCAUCUAAAUUUGCAACAAGUUUUUUUUUGGCACGCUAAGAUCAAAGUGGACAUUCGAUAUAGCUAUUACGAUACUGACUAAACGGUUGGGUGGACCUCGUCUCCUUUGGUUAUAUCUAUUAGCUUUUAUAAUAAACGAAAAAUUCGUUAAUGUAUCUGCCUG